UACGUAGGGUGCGAGCGGUAAUCGGAAGUACUGGGCGUAAAGCGUGCGCAGGCGGUUUUGUUAGCCAGACGUGAAAUCCCCGGGCUCAACCUGGGAAGGGCGUUUGGGACUGCAAGGCUGGAGUGUGGCAGAGGGGACUAGAAUUCCUGGUGUAGCAGUGAAAUGCGUAGAUAUCAGGAGGAAUACCGAUGGCGAAGGCAAGUCCCUAGGCUAACACUGACGCUCAUGCACGAAAGCGUGGGGAGCAAACAGG
RNAcentral lists this ribosomal RNA (253 nucleotides) under uncultured bacterium. Its description in RNAcentral is "partial 16S ribosomal RNA". It matches the Rfam family "Bacterial small subunit ribosomal RNA", at positions 524 to 776 of the family's 1533-position model. The record is from RNAcentral.